GACGAACGCUGGCGGCGUGCUUAACACAUGCAAGUGGAGCGACGAACCGGGCUUCGGCCCGGGGCAAAGCCGCGAACGGGUGAGUAACACGUGGGUAACCUGCCCCGAUGACCGGGACAACCCGAGGAAACUCGGGCUAAUACCGGAUACGCCCGCCCCACAUCAGUGGGACGGGCAAAGGUAGCUUCGGCCUCCGCAUUGGGAUGGGCCCGCGGCGCAUUAGCUUGUUGGUGAGGUAACGGCUCACCAAGGCAACGAUGCGUAGCUGGUCUGAGAGGACGAUCAGCCACACUGGGACUGAGACACGGCCCAGACUCCUACGGGAGGCAGCAGUGGGGAAUCUUGCGCAAUGCGCGAAAGCGUGACGCAGCAACGCCGCGUGGGGAAGAAGGCCU
RNAcentral lists this ribosomal RNA (395 nucleotides) under uncultured bacterium. Its description in RNAcentral is "bacterial SSU rRNA". It matches the Rfam family "Bacterial small subunit ribosomal RNA", at positions 28 to 417 of the family's 1533-position model. The record is from RNAcentral.